CAAUAGCGUAUAUUAAAGUUGUUGCGGUUAAAAAGCUCGUAGUUGGAUUUCUGCUGAGAACGACCGGUCCGCCCUUUGGGUGUGUAUCUGGCUCUUUCUUGGCAUCUUCUUGGUGAACGUUGCUGCACUUGACUGUGUGGAGCGCUACCCAGGACUUUUACUUUGAGGAAAUUAGAGUGUUUCAAGCAGGCAUACGCCUUGAAUACAUUAGCAUGGAAUAAUAAGAUAGGACCUCGGUUCUAUUUUGUUGGUUUCUAGAGCUGAGGUAAUGAUUAAUAGGGAUAGUUGGGGGCAUUCGUAUUUAACUGUCAGAGGUGAAAUUCUUGGAUUCGUUAAAGACGGACUACUGUGAAAGCAUUUGCCAAGGAUGUUUUCAUUGA
Molecule: ribosomal RNA, 380 nt
Filed under: uncultured eukaryote
Lineage: Eukaryota
Description: partial 18S ribosomal RNA
Rfam family: Eukaryotic small subunit ribosomal RNA
Source: RNAcentral